GCCUACGGGGGGCAGCAGUGGGGAAUCUUGCACAAUGGGGGAAACCCUGAUGCAGCGACGCCGCGUGAGCGAUGAAGCCCUUCGGGGCGUAAAGCUCUUUCGGCAGGGAAGAUUAUGACGGUACCUGCAUAAGCAGCUGCGGCUAACUACGUGCCAGCAGCCGCGGUAAUACGUAGGCAGCGAGCGUUGUUCGGAGUUACUGGGCGUAAAGGGUGUGCAGGCGGUUGCUUAAGUUUGGUGUGAAAUCUCCCGGCUCAACUGGGAGGGUGCGCCGAAUACUGAGUGACUAGAGUGCGGGAGAGGAGAGUGGAAUUCCUGGUGUAGCGGUGAAAUGCGUAGAUAUCAGGAGGAACACCGGCGGUGUAGACGGCUCUCUGGACCGUAACUGACGCUGAGACACGAAAGCGUGGGUAGCAAACAGGAUUAGAUACCCUCGUAC
This 439-nucleotide ribosomal RNA is filed under the name uncultured bacterium. RNAcentral describes it as "bacterial SSU rRNA". It matches the Rfam family "Bacterial small subunit ribosomal RNA", at positions 337 to 793 of the family's 1533-position model. The record is from RNAcentral.